UACGUAGGUGGCGAGCGUUAUCCGGAAUGAUUGGGCGUAAAGGGAACGCAGGCGGUCUUUUAAGUCUGAUGUGAAAGCCUUCGGCUUAACCGGAGUAGUGCAUUGGAAACUGGGAGACUUGAGUGCAGAAGAGGAGAGUAGAACUCCAUGUGUAGCGGUGAAAUGCGUAGAUAUAUGGAAGAACACCAGUGGCGAAAGCGGCUCUCUGGUCUGUAACUGACGCUGAGGUUCGAAAGCGUGGGUAGCAAACAGG
Molecule: ribosomal RNA, 253 nt
Filed under: uncultured bacterium
Lineage: Bacteria
Description: partial 16S ribosomal RNA
Rfam family: Bacterial small subunit ribosomal RNA
Source: RNAcentral